UUUUAAUUGAGAGUUUGAUCCUGGCUCAGGACGAACGCUGGCGGUAUGCUUAACACAUGCAAGUCGAACGAGAAGCUUUUUAUGGAUCCUUCGGGAGAAAUAAGGAGUGGAAAGUGGCGAACGGGUGAGUAACGCGUGGGUAACCUGCCUCAUGGAAAGGAAUAGCCUCGGGAAACUGGGA
RNAcentral lists this ribosomal RNA (181 nucleotides) under Eubacterium barkeri. RNAcentral describes it as "16S rRNA. Bacterial SSU". It matches the Rfam family "Bacterial small subunit ribosomal RNA", at positions 1 to 162 of the family's 1533-position model. Lineage: Bacteria; Bacillati; Bacillota; Clostridia; Eubacteriales; Eubacteriaceae. The record is from RNAcentral.